UGCCUAUACAUGCAGUCGAACGAACUCUGGUAUUGAUUGGUGCUUGCAUCAUGAUUUACAUUUGAGUGAGUGGCGAACUGGUGAGUAACACGUGGGAAACCUGCCCAGAAGCGGGGGAUAACACCUGGAAACAGAUGCUAAUACCGCAUAACAACUUGGACCGCAUGGUCCGAGCUUGAAAGAUGGCUUCGGCUAUCACUUUUGGAUGGUCCCGCGGCGUAUUAGCUAGAUGGUGAGGUAACGGCUCACCAUGGCAAUGAUACGUAGCCGACCUGAGAGGGUAAUCGGCCACAUUGGGACUGAGACACGGCCCAAACUCCUACGGGAGGCAGCAGUAGGGAAUCUUCCACAAUGGACGAAAGUCUGAUGGAGCAACGCCGCGUGAGUGAAGAAGGGUUUCGGCUCGUAAAACUCUGUUGUUAAAGAAGAACAUAUCUGAGAGUAACUGUUCAGGUAUUGACGGUAUUUAACCAGAAAGCCACGGCUAACUACGUGCCAGCAGCCGCGGUAAUACGUAGGUGGCAAGCGUUGUCCGGAUUUAUUGGGCGUAAAGCGAGCGCAGGCGGUUUUUUAAGUCUGAUGUGAAAGCCUUCGGCUCAACCGAAGAAGUGCAUCGGAAACUGGGAAACUUGAGUGCAGAAGAGGACAGUGGAACUCCAUGUGUAGCGGUGAAAUGCGUAGAUAUAUGGAAGAACACCAGUGGCGAAGGCGGCUGUCUGGUCUGUAACUGACGCUGAGGCUCGAAAGUAUGGGUAGCAAACAGGAUUAGAUACCCUGGUAGUCCAUACCGUAAACGAUGAAUGCUAAGUGUUGGAGGGUUUCCGCCCUUCAGUGCUGCAGCUAACGCAUUAAGCAUUCCGCCUGGGGAGUACGGCCGCAAGGCUGAAACUCAAAGGAAUUGACGGGGGCCCGCACAAGCGGUGGAGCAUGUGGUUUAAUUCGAAGCUACGCGAAGAACCUUACCAGGUCUUGACAUACUAUGCAAAUCUAAGAGAUUAGACGUUCCCUUCGGGGACAUGGAUACAGGUGGUGCAUGGUUGUCGUCAGCUCGUGUCGUGAGAUGUUUGGGUUAAGUCCCGCAACGAGCGCAACCCUUAUUAUCAGUUGCCAGCAUUAAGUUGGGCACUCUGGUGAGACUGCCGGUGACAAACCCGAGGAAAGGGGGGGGAAUAAAUUCAAAUCAUCAUGGCCCCUUAUGACCUGGGGGUACCCACUGGUUCCAAAGGGAGGGGGGCA
RNAcentral lists this ribosomal RNA (1236 nucleotides) under Lactiplantibacillus plantarum. RNAcentral describes it as "bacterial SSU rRNA". It matches the Rfam family "Bacterial small subunit ribosomal RNA", at positions 45 to 1248 of the family's 1533-position model. The record is from RNAcentral. Lineage: Bacteria; Bacillati; Bacillota; Bacilli; Lactobacillales; Lactobacillaceae.